CAGCCGCCGCGGUAAUACGUAGGGUGCAAGCGUUGUUCGGAAUUACUGGGCGUAAAGCGCGUGUAGGUGGUUGAGUAAGUCGAAUGUGAAAGCCCCGGGCUCAACCCGGGAAGUGCAUCCGAAACUGCUCGACUAGAGUCCCGGAGAGGAAGGCAGAAUUCCCAAUGUAGGGGUGAAAUCCGUAGAUAUUGGGAGGAAUACCGGUGGCGAAGGCGGCCUUCUGGACGGUGACUGGCACUCAGACGCGAAAGCGUGGGGAGCAAACAGGAUUAGAUACCCUGGUAGUCCACGCUGUAAACGUUGCGAACUAGGUGUCGGGGGUAUUCACCCCUCCGGUGCCGAAGCUAACGUCUUAAGUUCGCCGCCUGGGAAGUACGGCCGCAAGGCUAAAACUCAAAGGAAUUGACGG
This 409-nucleotide ribosomal RNA is filed under the name uncultured bacterium. Its description in RNAcentral is "bacterial SSU rRNA". It matches the Rfam family "Bacterial small subunit ribosomal RNA", at positions 509 to 916 of the family's 1533-position model. The record is from RNAcentral.